Molecule: ribosomal RNA, 1474 nt
Filed under: Pseudomonadota bacterium
Lineage: Bacteria; Pseudomonadati; Pseudomonadota
Description: bacterial SSU rRNA
Rfam family: Bacterial small subunit ribosomal RNA
Source: RNAcentral
AAACCUGAGAGUUUGAUUCUGGCUCAGAACGAACGCUGGCGGCAGGCUUAACACAUGCAAGUCGAACGCUGUAGCAAUACAGAGUGGCGCACGGGUGAGUAAUACAUGGGAACGUGCCUUGGAGUCCGGGAUAACCGCGGGAAACUGUGGCUAAUACCGGAUAUUCCCCGCGGGGGAAAGAUUUAUCGCUCCAAGAUCGGCCCAUGCCAGAUUAUGGUAGUUGGUGGGGUAAAAGCCUACCAAGCCUACGAUCUGUAGCUGGUCUGAGAGGACGACCAGCCACACUGGAACUGAGACACGGUCCAGACUCCUACGGGAGGCAGCAGUGGGGAAUAUUGGACAAUGGGCGCAAGCCUGAUCCAGCCAUGCCGCGUGAGUGAUGAAGGCCUUAGGGUUGUAAAGCUCUUUUGUCAGGGAAGAUAAUGACGGUACCUGAAGAAUAAGCACCGGCUAACUUCGUGCCAGCAGCCGCGGUAAUACGAAGGGUGCUAGCGUUGUUCGGAAUUACUGGGCGUAAAGCGCGCGUAGGCGGCUUUUCAAGUCAGGGGUGAAAUCCCACGGCUCAACCGUGGAAUUGCCUUUGAAACUGUAAAGCUGGAGUGUCGGAGGGGAUAGCGGAAUUCCUAAUGUAGAGGUGAAAUUCGUAGAUAUUAGGAGGAACACCGGUGGCGAAGGCGGCUAUCUGGACGACAACUGACGCUGAGGCGCGAAAGCGUGGGGAUCAAACAGGAUUAGAUACCCUGGUAGUCCACGCUGUAAACGAUGGGUGCUAGCUGUUGGGGGGUUACCCCUCAGUAGCGUAGCUAACGCGUUAAGCACCCCGCCUGGGGAGUACGGUCGCAAGAUUAAAACUCAAAGAAAUUGACGGGGACCCGCACAAGCGGUGGAACAUGUGGUUUAAUUCGAGGCAACGCGAAGAACCUUACCAGGAUUCGACAUGCCCUCUAUGGAUUCCCGAAAAGGAAUCCUUCACUUCGGGUGGGAGGAGCACAGGUGCUGCAUGGCUGUCGUCAGCUCGUGUCGUGAGAUGUUGGGUUAAGUCCCGCAACGAGCGCAACCCUCGUCCUCUGUUGCUAACAGGUAAUGCUGAGAACUCUGAGGAAACUGCCGGUGAUAAGCCGGAGGAAGGUGGGGAUGACGUCAAGUCCUCAUGGCCCUUACAUCCUGGGCUACACACGUGUUACAAUGGCGGUGACAAUGGGCAGCUAACCCGCGAGGGCAUGCUAAUCCCAAAAAGCCGCCUCAGUUCGGAUUGCACUCUGCAACUCGAGUGCAUGAAGCUGGAAUCGCUAGUAAUCGCGGAUCAGCACGCCGCGGUGAAUACGUUCCCGGGUCUUGUACACACCGCCCGUCACACCAUGGAAGUCGGUUCUGCCUUAAGCCGCCCUUAAAAGCGUCCACGGCAGGGUCGAUGACUGGGGUGAAGUCGUAACAAGGUAGCCGUAGGGGAACCUGCGGCUGGAUUACCUCCUUU